Chiloscyllium plagiosum (whitespotted bambooshark) is the source of this 1269-nucleotide non-coding RNA. The record is from RefSeq and is a predicted model, not a curated record. NCBI's taxonomy places the organism in Eukaryota, Metazoa, Chordata, Chondrichthyes, Orectolobiformes, Hemiscylliidae.
CUUUGCUAAGAGGCUCACGCAAACUCGAAGGGCAACUGCCUAUGUGGUGAAUGGUUCUCUCCAAGUCGGCCUCGAUGUUCUGCUGCAAACUGCUCCACAGACAGGUGCAUUCAAAAUGCAAAGGAGACUCCUCUCUUAUUCAUCUACAAGGCACGUGUCAGGAGUGUGAUGGAAUUGUCUCCACUUGUCUGGUGAAGUACGGCUCAAACAACACUGGGAAAAACCACCCUGACCCUGUCCAGGACAAGUAGUCAACUUGUGUGGCACUCCAAGUACUAAUUUCAACAUUUACUCUCUCUCCAUCACACCAUCAGAGGCAGCAGUGUGUACUAUCUACAAGAUGCACUGCAGUAACUCACCAAUGCUUCUUUGACAGUACUUUUCAAACCUUUGACCUCUACCAGCUGGAACAAUAAAAGUAUCAGAAUGCAUUGGAGUGCCAGCACCUCCAAGUUCUCCUCCAAGACACACACCAUCCUAAUUGAUCAUUCUCUGUUGCUAGGUUAAAAUUAUUGAGAUCCCUUUCUAACAGUACUGUGGGUGUCGCUACAGUCCAAGGCAUUCAGCAGCUCAUGAUCACCAUUGGGGAAUGGGUGUUAAGUGCUGUCCUAACUAUUAAUAUACAUACCCUGUGAAAGAAUAAGAAAACAAUCCUGCCUCCUAUUCAUCCAAACAGACUGGAUAUACAGCAAGUCAGUUAUCAUCUGGAGAAAGAAAAAGAUGAGUUCAGAUGUUUUAUAUCUGUAGAUUUUGUCAAAAUAAUCCAUCAGCGUGCUUUUGACUGAAUGGACACACCUAAAAUGUUCUUGCCUGUGAACUCUUUUAGUUUUAACCUAGUAUCAUUGGUGAUCUGUGCCCAAUAGCAUAUGGCAAUCAGUAAAAUUCAAUAUAAUUGGAUUUUAAUGCAGCAUGUCGGUAUUUUCUGUGGAACCAAGCAAACUGUUUUAUACUGAAGUUAAUUUUCCUUUCAUGAAAUUAAUUCCAUCACAAAGAGAAUCAGCUACAGGAUAAAAUGCUGCCUGUGUGUGUACUUCCUACAAUCGUCAUGAAUCUUUCAUUCUUUUCAUGAAACUCUUCCACAACUGAGUUGUGAAUCAAUUGAAACUGGAAAAUAUUCUUGACUCUUGGUGAAAGGUGACAGUAGGUUCAUAGCUAUAUAACAGCCCACAAACAUGAUUCCCCUCACGGCUUUUCAGAAUUCACACAACUGGAACUGGUAUCAUGCCUGUUUAAUCACUUUGUGCUUUUGUCAUCCAUAAAACAAAUUAG